Molecule: long non-coding RNA, 428 nt
Organism: Tarenaya hassleriana
Lineage: Eukaryota; Viridiplantae; Streptophyta; Magnoliopsida; Brassicales; Cleomaceae
Exons: 2
Source: RefSeq, a predicted model, not a curated record
AAGUUGCUUCGAAUGCAGACUGCGAAGAACCCGGAAAGCCAUGGAACUGAUUGUGCCUUCAUAAUUUGGCGCAAAGAAAAUCAGCUAAUAAGCACCAACCAUCACAUGGCUUUGUCUUUCAAGUCGACAGAAGAAUUGUGGCUUAGCGUUUUUGACGAACAUUUUGCAAGACAAGAACCAACUCAUGCGGCCCUGACUGUAUUUUGUCCACAGAAAAAUCGUCGAGUUUUUCAGUCACGUGGAAGAGUGAUAAAUAGUGAAUAAGGCUUGUCGCCAUGUUGGUAUGCGGCUUCAGGCCCCCACAUAAAAAUACAAUAUCCAAGUCAAUGUCAUGGACAAGAGCAUAUGGUUAUGGUGGCAUGUCAUCUUUUCAUUACAAACAUUGAGAAGACAAACCCUUGUGAAGUAGAUAUGAAGCUGUCCAGAGA